This is a non-coding RNA of Triticum aestivum (bread wheat), 135 nucleotides long. NCBI's taxonomy places the organism in Eukaryota, Viridiplantae, Streptophyta, Magnoliopsida, Poales, Poaceae. The record is from Rfam.
CUAGUACUCCCUCCGUCCCAAAAUUCUCGUCUUAGAUUUAUCUAGAUACGGAUGUAUCUAAAACUAAAAUGUGAAUAGAUACAUCCGUAUGUAGACAAAUCUAAGACAAGAAUUUUGGGACGGAUGGAGUAUCUG